Small nuclear RNA from Suncus etruscus (white-toothed pygmy shrew), 185 nucleotides. RefSeq annotates it as U2 spliceosomal RNA. The transcript has a single exon. Lineage: Eukaryota; Metazoa; Chordata; Mammalia; Eulipotyphla; Soricidae. The record is from RefSeq and is a predicted model, not a curated record.
AUUGCUUUUCGGCCUUUUGGCUAAGAUCAAGUGUAGUAUCUGGUCUUAUAAGUUUAAUAUCUGAUAGAUCGUCUAUCCUAUGACAAUAUAUUAAAUAAAUUAAAUAAAUUUUUGGCACUAGCUUGCUCUGUCCAUUCCAUGCAUCAACCUCGUAUUGCAGUAUCUCCAGGAAUGGUACAUUCCUU